CUACGGGUCGCAGCAGUGGGGGAUAUUGCACAAUGGGCGAAAGCCUGAUGCAGCAACGCCGCGUGAAGGAUGACGGAUUUCGGUCUGUAAACUUCUAUCAGCAGGGAAGAAAAUGACGGUACCUGACUAAGAAGCCCCGGCUAACUACGUGCCAGCAGCCGCGGUAAUACGUAGGGGGCAAGCGUUAUCCGGAAUUACUGGGUGUAAAGGGUACGUAGGCGGCUGAUCAAGUCAGAUGUGAAAGCCCGGAGCUCAACUCCGGGAUUGCAUUUGAAACUGGUCGGCUAGAGUGCAGGAGGGGAAAGUGGAAUUCCUAGUGUAGCGGUGAAAUGCGUAGAUAUUAGGAAGAACACCAGUGGCGAAGGCGGCUUUCUGGACUGUAACUGACGCUGAGGUACGAAAGCGUGGGGAGCGAACAGGAUUAGAUACCCUUGUAGUC
Molecule: ribosomal RNA, 439 nt
Filed under: uncultured bacterium
Lineage: Bacteria
Description: partial 16S ribosomal RNA
Rfam family: Bacterial small subunit ribosomal RNA
Source: RNAcentral